AUCGCUUCUCGGCCUUUUGGCUAAGAUCAAGUGAAGUACCUGAUUUGUCAGAUGGGGGGGUCAGACCCAUCUGAUGGAAAGGGGAAAAAACUUGAUCCUCUGCCAAGAGGCCAUAGCACUAUGAAAGCCGGAGUUGUAGUGCCUACGGGGGGUGCCUGACUCACCACUGGGGUCACGCACUUAGCACUUCACUUCACGCUUUUCAUUUUGCUUUACACUUUUCUUUGCUCCGGCCUUUUGGCUAGGCAAGAAAAAUUUUUUCUAACCGGCCGCCAGCCGGAGCCUUCACUGGCACAUAUGGCACAAGCACUUAUUGCACCUUGCACUUAUUUUUUGCGUGUUUGUGUGUCCUUUUUUUUGUUGGCAUGUAUCUUUACACGGGCUUUGGGUGUUAAUAGUCCUUUUGGACUCAACCCCUGGCCAGGUAUUGGUGCCCUGGGGGAAGCUUCGGCGGAACCCAGGGUAAAGGGACUCCCCCUAGCCGCAAGGUGAAGGGGAGUCUAAAGACCCUAAGCUCCUCGUCGGUGCCUUUUGGCCGGAGGGGCUGGGGAAGACGGGGCUCACCCUAGCUUCGGCGAAGGUGAGCCCAACGAUCCUUGUCGUCUCUGGGCCUGGCCUGGGACACUUGGGUAUGGGAGCCCAUGCCUUUGGGUAGGACUCCCGGGGAGCACCUUGCACUCUGCACUUGAGCACUGGGCACAAAGGGGCUCUUGAAAGCACGUACUCCGGCUUUCAAUAAAAAAAAA
Molecule: unclassified non-coding RNA, 746 nt
Filed under: Xenopus laevis (African clawed frog)
Lineage: Eukaryota; Metazoa; Chordata; Amphibia; Anura; Pipidae
Source: RNAcentral